Molecule: ribosomal RNA, 468 nt
Filed under: uncultured bacterium
Lineage: Bacteria
Description: partial 16S ribosomal RNA
Rfam family: Bacterial small subunit ribosomal RNA
Source: RNAcentral
GACGAACGCUGGCGGCGUGCUUAACACAUGCAAGUCGAACGGAAAGGCCCUGCUUUUGUGGGGUGCUCGAGUGGCGAACGGGUGAGUAACACGUGAGUAACCUGCCUUUGACUUUGGGAUAACUUCAGGAAACUGGGGCUAAUACCGGAUAGGAGCUCCUGCUGCAUGGUGGGGGUUGGAAAGUUUCGGCGGUUGGGGAUGGACUCGCGGCUUAUCAGCUUGUUGGUGGGGUAGUGGCUUACCAAGGCUUUGACGGGUAGCCGGCCUGAGAGGGUGACCGGCCACAUUGGGACUGCGAUACGGCCCAGACUCCUACGGGAGGCAGCAGUGGGGAAUAUUGCACAAUGGGCGGAAGCCUGAUGCGGCAACGCCGCGUGCGGGAUGACGGCCUUCGGGUUGUAAACCGCUUUCGCCUGUGACGAAGCGUGAGUGACGGUAAUGGGUAAAGAAGCACCGGCUAACUACGUG